CUUCCGGCAGCACUACCAUCUCUGCGUGCACCAUUUCAACUGUACAUAUAGCCUACUCAACUUACGACCAAAUUGUGUUACGACCAGUCCGCGGUCCCGACCGUGGUCGUAAGUCAAGCACUAGAAUGCUCUAUUUAGAAUGCUUUAGUCCAAAAUUCUUUCAUUUCACCUCAUAUGUAUCAAUGAGUUGCCAAAUAACUUGAUGCACAACCCCCUCAUGACUUGUAGUUUUUAGAUCUCAUAACACCCUUAAUGACUUGGUGAUUAUAAGGCACUUUCAAGUAAUUAAACAAUCAAUAGUUACUAUUCUGGGUGAUUUGUAACCUGUAAAAUGAAACCCUGCCAGGACUACAGGCACAGAAUUUAGGGCUCUUCAUGGUUUUAACUAUUUUGUACCUGGGAAACAUUUGAGACUCUUUAAUGAAAAGAAUAACCAAUUAACUGUCCUACUGAGAUGAUAUUUCUUAUCGCUGUGGUUUAACCUUAAAUGUAAUUGUAUUAAAUCUGCUUCGAUAUUUUGCAUAUGCAAAAAAGAAAUAUCUGCUGUUUGUCAAGCAAAUGUAUACUUACUACUAAGUAGGAGCCUUGUGGGUGGUGAGGGUCUAGAAUAGGCCAUUACAACCUCUGCCUGCUGGGUGCAGUGGCCUUGGGCAGUGCUUCAAUCUUGAUCCUGUUGCUCACUUUGCAAGGCAAAGCACAGAACUACUGUGUCCAUUUUAUUCACCUCUACAACAAAGGAAGACAAGUGUAGUAGCUGGCUACACAAUUUUUUCUAAAUAAAUUAUGAAAUAUCUACCGCAAAAAUCAUAAUAACCAUAUCAUCUUUGUGGACAGCAGGGAAGAGUUAGGAAAUGAUGUGAAGAGCUCAGUCUCCUUUAAGGAGAAGGUGACUUCUUGUUUUAGAAAAAUUGCCCGUUGCUGUUUAACAUCUUUGAGUUGAUACUUUAAGUAUUUCUUGAGAAAUUCAGUUUUGAUCUGUGCACCACAUUCAGGGCUGUGGUAUGAGACCCCUAGCUGAAUUGAUCUUACUGAAACUCUUACUUUUUAGCUGUACCUCUUUCUCCUAUUGUAGAAGGUACAUAUUAUAAUUACCCCCUUAGCUAUUUUAAGUCAGGACACAAUUCAGCAGCAUUUAAGUACAUUCACAUUGUUGUGCAAUCCUCACUGCCACCAAUCUCCAGAACUUUUUCAUCAUCCUAACCUGAAACCCUGAACCUGUUAAAUAUUAACUCCCCACACCCUGUUAUUCCCACUCCACCCCAUGCCCUGAUCUCUGUUUUCAAAAAUACUGUUAGCAAACUUAAAACUUAAUUAAGAGGUGGUAGUUUCCUGGAUAAUGUCCUGCAACUCUGGACCUGCAACAAGCCUGAAAUGGGUCUGCACGUCUGUGUGCCCUUAGGUUGGCAUUCCUUGAGGUAACUCACCAACAGCCCGCUUUACUAUCUGCAGGCGAUUGACCAGCCAGCACCUGCACCGAGUUGUAGGGAGCUGAAACCAGCUGAAGCUCUUGAUUUUUCUACCCUGUGUAUAUCUAAAUAAAACAGUCCUUCCCAGGUAGACGUCCUCAAAAAAUACACAAGCAUUUUUGCAUGAAUCCUAAAAGGAUAUUGUGUGUGUUUUCUGAUAUGGUUUGGCCGUGUCUCCAGCCAAAUCUCACCUUGAAUUGUGAUAAUCCCCAAGUGUCAGAGGCAGGGCCAGGUGGAGAUAGUUGAAUCACAGGGCAGUUUCCCUCGUACCGUUCUCGUGUAGUGAGUAAGCCUCACGAGAUCUGAUGGUUUUAUAAAUGGGAGUUCCCCUGCACUAGCUGUCAGCCUGCACCGUGUGAGACGUGACUGCUCCUCAUUCACUUCCAGCCAUGAAUGUGAGGCCUUCCCAGCUGCACAGAACUGUGAGUCAAUUAAACCUCUUUACUUUAUAAGCUACCCAGUCUCGGGUAUGUCUUUAUUAGCAGUGUGAGAACAGACUAAUACAUUUUCUAUAUUAAAAUGUCUGGGCUGCAGUUAUUUUUACUGCAAUUUUACAAAUGAGAUUUUUCUUUACCUUUAAAUGUAUCAACUGUUUUUCAAAGCAGCAAAACAUUUUUCCGCCACUGGAAACUCCAGUAUUUCACUCAAUAGUGGAAUGUUCUGGGUGGAGGAUAGGAUCCACCUGAUGGAGCAUCCCUUUGCUAACACAGCACUCCCCUGAUAUUCCUCCACCUCCCUCCACGGAGCAGCCCCACACUUGAGUGGAGUCCUUAGACUCCAGGGAGCACAGUUCUACAUUCCCAGUCACAGGUCCCCAUGACGUGACCUUUGCCUCCCUCUCCAGCUUCAUCUACGGCCCAUCCCGAUUCCCACUGUGUGCCUCCAUGGUAGCACAUUGCUGGGCAUUCGUGCACGCUGCACACAGCGUCUGUUUAUCUGUGCUGUGCCCUUUUCCACCCCCUGUUGGCUAGCAACCAUACUUCAUCCUUAACACAUGGCUCGGGUAGCACCCUGCCCCGUGGGGUUUGAUAGCCUUCCCUGCCUCUUCUCUCGGUAUGCUGACCUGUCUGUCUUGUCCUCAGUCUGGCUAUCUCCUAAACUGAGCUCCUUGAGUCAGGGACAUUACCUUACUAUUACUGUAGUGCCAAUACAGAGUAGGUAGUUAAAAAUAAGUACCAAAAAAAAAA
Long non-coding RNA from Sapajus apella (tufted capuchin), 2653 nucleotides. RefSeq lists it as uncharacterized. NCBI's taxonomy places the organism in Eukaryota, Metazoa, Chordata, Mammalia, Primates, Cebidae. The transcript has 2 exons. The record is from RefSeq and is a predicted model, not a curated record.